Molecule: ribosomal RNA, 600 nt
Filed under: uncultured bacterium
Lineage: Bacteria
Description: bacterial SSU rRNA
Rfam family: Bacterial small subunit ribosomal RNA
Source: RNAcentral
UUUACUGACGCUAAAGCUCGAAGGUGCGGGUAUCGAACAGGAUUAGAUACCCUGGUAGUCCGCACGGUAAACGAUGGAUGCCCGCUGUUCGCGAUACAAUGUGAGCGGCCAAGAGAAAUCGUUAAGCAUCCCACCUGGGGAGUACGCCGGCAACGGUGAAACUCAAAGGAAUUGACGGGGGCCCGCACAAGCGGAGGAACAUGUGGUUUAAUUCGAUGAUACGCGAGGAACCUUACCCGGGCUUGAACUGCAGAGGAAUGCGGUGGAGACACCAAAGCCCUUCGGGGCCUCUGUGGAGGUGCUGCAUGGUUGUCGUCAGCUCGUGCCGUGAGGUGUCGGCUUAAGUGCCAUAACGAGCGCAACCCCUUUCGUCAGUUGCCAUCAGGUUAUGCUGGGCACUCUGGCGACACUGCCACCGUAAGGUGUGAGGAAGGUGGGGAUGACGUCAAAUCAGCACGGCCCUUACGUCCGGGGCUACACACGUGUUACAAUGGGGAGUACAGAGAGUCAGGCGCCGGCAACGUCGCCUCAAUCAGGAAAGCUCUCCUCAGUUCGGAUUGGGGUCUGCAACCCGACCCCAUGAAGCUGGAUUCGCUAGUA